GCAGACCUAGCUUUCGCGGGGGGGAGAGAACAACACAUAUUUUACUUAUAAUCAGAGCAUAUUUGAUCCAAAAGAGAUUCAGCCUGGGUGUUCGGUCUGGACACAGGAUGCAGCAACCCUCUUUACAGGCCAAAUGUGGAAAACAACAUAUAAACAAACUAGCCUUCCCUGCAAACAAGAGAAGAAUUUAUGAGGCUUAGAGGAAGAGCUAUGGCUCUAACAACAGUGCUAAUCUGACACGGAUGGAGGUCACCUGGGGUUUGUUCAGGGCAGCUGAAGGAUUCUAAGGUACUUACUUUAAGUUUGGCAAAAACCACUCUUUGUCUUA
This 328-nucleotide long non-coding RNA is filed under the name Crocodylus porosus (Australian saltwater crocodile). RNAcentral's name for it is "lncRNA (ENSCPRG00005004635.1)". Lineage: Eukaryota; Metazoa; Chordata; Crocodylia; Crocodylidae. The record is from RNAcentral.